AGUCGAACGGAAAGGCCCCUUCGGGGGUACUCGAGUGGCGAACGGGUGAGUAACACGUGGGUGAUCUGCCCUGCACUUUGGGAUAAGCCUGGGAAACUGGGUCUAAUACCGAAUAGGACCGCAUGCUUCAUGGUGUGUGGUGGAAAGCUUUUGCGGUGUGGGAUGGGCCCGCGGCCUAUCAGCUUGUUGGUGGGGUAAUGGCCUACCAAGGCGACGACGGGUAGCCGGCCUGAGAGGGUGUCCGGCCACACUGGGACUGAGAUACGGCCCAGACUCCUACGGGAGGCAGCAGUGGGGAAUAUUGCACAAUGGGCGCAAGCCUGAUGCAGCGACGCCGCGUGGGGGAUGACGGCCUUCGGGUUGUAAACCUCUUUCAGUAUCGGCGAAGCUCCAGGAUUUUUCUUGGGGUGACGGUAGGUACAGAAGAAGCACCGGCCAACUACGUGCCAGCAGCCGCGGUAAUACGUAGGGUGCGAGCGUUGUCCGGAAUUACUGGGCGUAAAGAGCUCGUAGGUGGUUUGUCACGUUGUCCGUGAAAACUCACAGCUUAACUGUGGGCGUGCGGGCGAUACGGGCAGACUAGAGUACUGUAGGGGAGACUGGAAUUCCUGGUGUAGCGGUGGAAUGCGCAGAUAUCAGGAGGAACACCGGUGGCGAAGGCGGGUCUCUGGGCAGUAACUGACGCUGAGGAGCGAAAGCGUGGGGAGCGAACAGGAUUAGAUACCCUGGUAGUCCACGCCGUAAACGGUGGGUACUAGGUGUGGGUUUCCUUCCUUUAGGGAUCCGUGCCGUAGCUAACGCAUUAAGUACCCCGCCUGGUGAGUACGGCCGCAAGGCUAAAACUCAAGAGAAUUGCC
RNAcentral lists this ribosomal RNA (857 nucleotides) under Mycobacterium minnesotense. Its description in RNAcentral is "Mycolicibacter minnesotensis bacterial SSU rRNA". It matches the Rfam family "Bacterial small subunit ribosomal RNA", at positions 60 to 914 of the family's 1533-position model. The record is from RNAcentral. Lineage: Bacteria; Bacillati; Actinomycetota; Actinomycetes; Mycobacteriales; Mycobacteriaceae.